RNAcentral lists this ribosomal RNA (464 nucleotides) under uncultured bacterium. RNAcentral describes it as "partial 16S ribosomal RNA". It matches the Rfam family "Bacterial small subunit ribosomal RNA", at positions 28 to 507 of the family's 1533-position model. The record is from RNAcentral.
GACGAACGCUGGCGGCGUGCUUAACACAUGCAAGUCGAACGGUAAGGCCCUUUCGGGGGUACACGAGUGGCGGACGGGGGAGUAACACGUGGGUGAUCUUCCCUGCACUUUGGGAUAAGCCUGGGAAACUGGGUCUAAUACCGGAUAGGACUACGCGAUGCAUGUCGUGUGGUGGAAAGCUUUUGCGGUGUGGGAUGGGCCUGCGGCCUAUCAGCUCGCUGGUGGGGUGAUGGCCUACCAAGGCGACGACGGGUAGCCGGCCUGGGAGGGUGUCCGGCCACACUGGGACUGAGAUAGGGCCCAGACGCCUACGGGAGGCAGCAGUGGGGAGUAUUGCACAAUGGGCGCAAGCCUGAUGCAGCGACGCCGCGUGGGGGAUGACGGCCUUCGGGUUGUAAACCCCUUUCAGCACAGACGAAGCGUAAGUGACGGUAUGUGCAGAAGAAGCACCGGCCAACUACGUG